Molecule: long non-coding RNA, 2183 nt
Organism: Vigna angularis (adzuki bean)
Lineage: Eukaryota; Viridiplantae; Streptophyta; Magnoliopsida; Fabales; Fabaceae
Exons: 7
Source: RefSeq, a predicted model, not a curated record
UAGGUUGUGAUAUUUUUUGUAUUGACUUUAUAUGUAGUUUCAUCAUAUUUGAUCUAUUACUAACCUUGUAUAUAUUUUUCAGGUAUGUUGGCCUCAGACUCAGGAUCAGGACAGACCAGACGUGGUCGAGGUGUCACACGAUUGCCAGAUGUGACAUUUGGACGCGUUGAUGGGCAGAGGAGACAUGUUGACAUUGACUCCAGAUCAGGUUCGGCAUCAGAGCCAAAUGCUGAUACGUUUAGGAGUUAUCUGGGUAAGUUAGAAAAAAAUCAUGUCUCUAUCCUUCAUGAGGGAUGACGUCCUAGAGGUCGACAAGAACCUCUUAUGGCAAGAUAUUCAGCAACAUUAUGAUAUUCCAAACAAAAUACAGAUUAGAAAGAAAGUAUUAUUGCAUAUAGCGAUAAGAUGGAGGGAUUUCAAGAGAAGGCUGACACGACUAUAUGUCUUUGGAGAGAGACAACAUGAAAAUCCAUGUCAGCAUUAUACCUUCACAAAGGAGGAGUGGAUAUAGUUUUGUGCAUCUAGAGAGUCUGAGGAAUGGAAGGGCAAAAGGUUAGUCGCCCAAGAAAGGCAAAGGCUAAACGAUGCACCACACUUGUUAUCACGAGGUGGUUAUGCAAAACUGAAAAAAAAAAUUAGAAAGUGUAGAGCGGAUGCUUUGGGGCUUGAGUCCCCAGACCUAGCACCUGCACCUGCUAGGUACGAGCUGUGGAAGGCUGCUCGGACUAAAUCUGAUGGGAACAUGACAUCUUCUUCAGCUGCCUUGAUCUCACAAACAAUUUUAAGUUCAAAUUCUAAACAUUGUUUGAUUGUGUAUUUAUCAUAACAUGUUCUUCUAAGUAACUUAGUUUUUUUUAUGUGCAGGAUGAGUUGGUUGAGCAGCAGACUCAGGGAACAUUUGUUGUCCAAGGUAGGGACAACAUUCUAACAAUGGCCAUUGGAAAGCCUGAGCACCCAGGACGUGUAUGUGGAGUUCUUAGGGCGAUUGGUCUUCGUGACUACUUUGGCCCUACACAGAAAAACACUCAAUCAAUGAGUCAGGAGGAACUGAGGCAGAUGGAUCUUCAGUGGGAGGAAAGACUCAACCAAAGCAUGAGAUCAAUGGAGCAACGAUUCAUGGAGCAGCUACAAGAACAAAAAGAAAUACAAAGAGCGCUUAAAGAGAAGUUGCAUUCCAUGACGCAGGGCACCAUGGGGCCCGUUGAAACUCCCACACCACCUUGUGUCAACACUAAAGGAUCAUGCUCUGCUGUAGAACAUACUCAGUAUAGCGGUCAAUAUGAGUUGUUGGUUGAUGGGGAUCCCCCACGCAUUGUGGUUGUCGAACGAGUGCUUGAGGUAGGGUAGACUAUUCAUGGUGUUCCCAUAUUACUCCACCACGUGCGUGUAACGAUUGACGAAGUUCGGGAUCCCCAGGCUCAGGUGCCUGUACCCACUCCAGAAAUUCAUUUUGAGGGGAAGGCCAUAGGAUCAUUUAUAGCCAGGCCUAGAGCAUUGAUCAUGUCACACAUCGCUACUCCACAGUUCUCACGUCCUCAGAAGAUUAUGACAUGGCUGAAGCGGGGGAUGAUCCUCUAUCAAAGCUAAUGACAAGAUUACCCAGGUUGAAGAGAGCACCAUUAGAACUAUACUGGGAUUUGAGAGUAUUUUGUCUCCCCCCCAUGUGCCACUAUAUAUCACAUUGACUGCUGCAUUGGAGGUGAUUGGGGGAGACAAGAUGUUGAAUAUUUCCAUCAUUCAACUAUGGUACAUGGACACAAUCGUUGUAGACUAAGGUCGGUCUUCCAUGUACGGAUUUGUUGAACCUCAGACCAUUCAACCUUCUGGUAACACACUUGAAAGAAAACAACAUUAUUUGCAAACAUGGAUGGAUGAGUCAAAAAGAGACGUAUACCUUGUGCCAUACAUUGAUGGGUCGCACUGGCAGCUGAUGGUCAUCAUUCCCAAACAAUGUAAAAUUAUAUGGUUUUGUUCGUUGCACAGGAAGUUGAAAACUGACUUGAGAACAAUGCUUCAAGGAGUUAUUGGUAGAUCUCGAGGUCAACUAGUUCAAAUUUUGUAUCCAAAGGUUGUAAGUCAUUUAUACUUCUAAUUCAUUUUCUAUGUUAUUGAAUGAUCUAAAUUCUUGACUAUUUAGUUUGUCAUUUUAGUGUAACCAGCAGCUAGAUUCAUGGGAAUGUGGC